UUUCCGUAGGUGAACCUGCGGAAGGAUCAUUCAUAAUAAAGUGUUGUAUGGCACUUUUUAAAAAUCCAUAUCCACCUUGUGUGCAAUGUUAGAUCUCGUCAAUCUUGGCGAGAUUUUUAUACAUCAACUCAUUCUUUAACUAAUUUGUCUGAAAAAUAUUAUGAAUACUUAAUUCAAAAUACAACUUUCAACAACGGAUCUCUUGGCUCUC
This 211-nucleotide unclassified non-coding RNA is filed under the name plant metagenome. Its description in RNAcentral is "partial contains small subunit ribosomal RNA, internal transcribed spacer 1, and 5.8S ribosomal RNA". The record is from RNAcentral.